Molecule: long non-coding RNA, 1700 nt
Filed under: Elaeis guineensis (African oil palm)
Lineage: Eukaryota; Viridiplantae; Streptophyta; Magnoliopsida; Arecales; Arecaceae
Description: long non-coding RNA (EGUI_LNC021032)
Source: RNAcentral
GCCUGCAAUGCUGGUUUCAGCCAAAUCGGUUUGGUUGUAAUAAGGCAGGUGAGAAACUAAAUCGGUUUGGUUGUAAUAAGGCAGGUGAGAAACUACAGUAUUAUAUAAUUUAAAUGAAACCUCAGUAUAUAGAAUAAGCACAUUCUUAAUUAAUACAUGAAGUUUCCCUUUCCAUCAAAAUAAUAAUAAAUAUUAAUACAUGAAGAUUUUUACAGCAGAACCUAGGAGUUUUCUUACGGACGUUCUCCAGUUGAGCAGUGGAAAGGUGAUGAAGGGAUGGAGUAGAAGGGUUGAUGAAAGGAUCAUCAAAUAAUUUCACAGAGCUAACAAACCCAACAUAGUACAGGUCUCCAUCGUUCCAUGAUUCCGUCCACUCAAGUGAUCGGUAUCUUUUUUCCUCCUCUUUUUUUUCUAUGAAACUUGGAGAUGACUACUUUAAAAAUGGUCUCACAAUUGGUCUAAUUCUUCUUUGGUAAGGGAUAAAUUGUAGGCUUUGUCCCCUUCUUUCAGGUGAUUGCCGCACUUCAUGUUAUUCACUCUGAUAAGCCAAGCGUUCAGGUGGAGAUACAACUUCAAUACCCUGCUCUCUAUUUGUCCAAGGAUUUCAUGUGAUUGCUUUAGCCCUCACCACCUUAGAAAGCAGGUAAUUUUUUCCCUAAUCCCACUUUGCAAUCCGCCCAGACUCUGGGUUGUCCUUAAUGGUGAGGAGCUUGUAUUUUUUUAAAAUACUUCUAAUAAAAGAAAACUGGAAUUUCAUUGUUUGCUCCCUCUUCAGUGUCGGUGUUACAGUGUGCUUGUCCAAAAUAUCAAACUUGAUUUGAAUGCUCUAAGAAUGUAAGGUGCCACAGAACAACACGUAAAACAAAUACAAGACAAAGUAAACAAAGGCUGCCUUUUUCAAGAAGUUGAGAGUAUUGAUUGCUUUUGUCUCAGGUACAAUGUUAUAGAUUGAAGUUGUGACGAGAAGUAGAUUACUAGAUGGAUUUCAGACUUGUUCCCUUUCCCGUUACUGAACUGAAGAUUCUUCAUCUUCUUCUUUAUGAAACUUCCAAAUUGCAGCCAUUAGCCCUUGAGAAGAAGAGGAUGAAGACCUGGGUUUUGCAUUCCUUUGCACCUGCAUCAUUCUCUACAAACACUUUUAGAGAGAAUAACUAAUUUGAGUUAAAUGAUGUUCCCAAAAAACUUUUAGAUGAUGAAAUUAUCUUAUUGGUAUCAAUCCAUUAGCUUUUCUUCUUCUUUUUUAUCCCUCUUUUUUCUCUGAAGAGAAAAGGUGCUCAUCUACCAGUUUCAUUUAGGAAGUGUAAAGGAAACGAUUACUUUUGAUUCUGUAGAACAGAAGCAGCAGAAGAGAACAAUCCAAAGCAUACUCAAGGUACAGACUAAAAUGGUAGUCAUCAGUUUGGCUAGAUUGAUAGGUUCAUUUUACCUUUUUGCUUGGUGCAAUCUUCCCUGUCUUCACACUUUUCAAGCUUUCUGGCCUGUUUUGCAGAUACUCCUUUAGUUGGUUAUCAUCCAUGGCUUCAAUCAGAUUAGUCUGCCAUUCGAAAAAAAAUUGAUGGAUAUAAAAGACAUUUUUGAGGAAACAACAAUAUAUUAAGAUGUAUGGCCAAGAGAGAUCUUGUAUGUCAGUUUUAGGAGCUUCAUUUGGUAGAAAAACAAAAACUUGGAUCAUAAUAGUAGAGCAAUGAAUGUAUGGAGGA